AUAACUCUAAGCGGUGGAUCACUCGGCUCGUGUGU
This 35-nucleotide ribosomal RNA is filed under the name Pharyngocirrus uchidai. Its description in RNAcentral is "partial 5.8S rRNA". Lineage: Eukaryota; Metazoa; Annelida; Polychaeta; Saccocirridae. The record is from RNAcentral.